RNAcentral lists this ribosomal RNA (418 nucleotides) under uncultured eukaryote. RNAcentral's name for it is "bacterial SSU rRNA". It matches the Rfam family "Eukaryotic small subunit ribosomal RNA", at positions 592 to 1018 of the family's 1831-position model. The record is from RNAcentral.
CAAUAGCGUAUAUUAAAGUUGUUGCAGUUAAAAAGCUCGUAGUUGGACUUCAGAGUGAGCUCAUACGGUCGGCCUAAUGGGUCAGAACUGGGUGACUUUCUCUUGCUUGUGGAUCCCGUCCGGAGUUAACUCUUCGGAUGUGGACUCCACAUCGUUUACCUUGAAAAAUUAGAGUGUUCAAAGCGGGCGUUUGCUUGAAUAUAUUAGCAUGGAAUAAUGGAAUAGGACCCUGGUUCUAUUUUGUUGGUUUUGAGAACCAGAGUAAUGAUUAAUAGGGAUAGUUGGGGGCAUUCAUAUUUCAUUGUCAGAGGUGAAAUUCUUGGAUUUAUGAAAGAUGAACUUCUGCGAAAGCAUUUGCCAAGGAUGUUUUCAUUAAUCAAGAACGAAAGUUAGGGGAUCGAAGACGAUCAGAUACCAU